This 70-nucleotide transfer RNA is filed under the name Diplostomum ardeae. Its description in RNAcentral is "tRNA-Ala". Lineage: Eukaryota; Metazoa; Platyhelminthes; Trematoda; Diplostomida; Diplostomidae. The record is from RNAcentral.
AACGAUGUAGUUUAUUUAUAAAAUGUGUGCUCUGCAAGCACUUGAUAGUCGUUGUAGUUUCUCAUCGUUG